UGAGCAAUCUGCCCUUCUCAUCGGAAUAAGCGUUGGAAACGACGUCUAAUGCCGAAUACGACCUCCUUUCGCAUGAUCGGAGGUGGAAAGCUCCGGCGGAGAAGGG
This 106-nucleotide ribosomal RNA is filed under the name uncultured bacterium. Its description in RNAcentral is "partial 16S ribosomal RNA". The record is from RNAcentral.